Molecule: ribosomal RNA, 253 nt
Filed under: uncultured bacterium
Lineage: Bacteria
Description: partial 16S ribosomal RNA
Rfam family: Bacterial small subunit ribosomal RNA
Source: RNAcentral
UACGUAGGUGGCAAGCGUUGUCCGGAUUUACUGGGUGUAAAGGGCGUGUAGCCGGGCUUACAAGUCAGAUGUGAAAUCCGGGGGCUCAACCCCCGAACUGCAUUUGAAACUGUAGGUCUUGAGUAUCGGAGAGGCAGGCGGAACUCCUAGUGUAGCGGUGAAAUGCGUAGAUAUUAGGAGGAACACCAGUGGCGAAGGCGGCCUGCUGGACGACAACUGACGGUGAGGCGCGAAAGCGUGGGGAGCAAACAGG